Molecule: ribosomal RNA, 253 nt
Filed under: uncultured bacterium
Lineage: Bacteria
Description: partial 16S ribosomal RNA
Rfam family: Bacterial small subunit ribosomal RNA
Source: RNAcentral
UACAGAGGGUGCAAGCGUUGUUCGGAAUUACUGGGCGUAAAGCGUGCGCAGGCGGUUCGUUAAGUCAGCUGUGAAAGCCCCGGGCUCAACCUGGGAACUGCGGUUGAAACUGGCGAACUAGAAUCUGGCAGAGGGGGGUGGAAUUCCACGUGUAGCAGUGAAAUGCGUAGAGAUGUGGAGGAACACCGAUGGCGAAGGCAGCCCCCUGGGCUGAGAUUGACGCUCAGGCACGAAAGCGUGGGGAGCAAACAGG